This 491-nucleotide ribosomal RNA is filed under the name uncultured bacterium. RNAcentral's name for it is "partial 16S ribosomal RNA". It matches the Rfam family "Bacterial small subunit ribosomal RNA", at positions 29 to 506 of the family's 1533-position model. The record is from RNAcentral.
AGUGAACGCUGGCGGUAGGCCUAACACAUGCAAGUCGAACGGCAGCACAGUAAGAGCUUGCUCUUACGGGUGGCGAGUGGCGGACGGGUGAGGAAUACAUCGGAAUCUACUUUUUCGUGGGGGAUAACGUAGGGAAACUUACGCUAAUACCGCAUACGACCUACGGGUGAAAGCAGGGGAUCUUCGGACCUUGCGCGAUUGAAUGAGCCGAUGUCGGAUUAGCUAGUUGGCGGGGUAAAGGCCCACCAAGGCGACGAUCCGUAGCUGGUCUGAGAGGAUGAUCAGCCACACUGGAACUGGGAAACGGUCCAGACCCCUACGGGAGGCAGCAGGGGGGAAUAUUGGACAAUGGGCGCAAGCCUGAUCCAGCCAUACCGCGUGGGUGAAGAAGGCCUUCGGGUUGUAAAGCCCUUUUGUUGGGAAAGAAAAGCAGCAGGUUAAUACCCCGCUGUUCUGACGGUACCCAAAGAAUAAGCACCGACUAACUUCGU